This 27-nucleotide non-coding RNA is filed under the name Homo sapiens (human). Lineage: Eukaryota; Metazoa; Chordata; Mammalia; Primates; Hominidae. The record is from RNAcentral.
UGAGCACUGCUGCCCGAUGGCCAUCCC